UAGCAAGUGGUGGAGGCCAGCAGGUGGAUGAAGGAAAAAGGAGGCAAGAGGAGAGACCCGAAGCGGCCGCCGGUCCGCGUGUCAGGUGAACUGAACUUCAGAGGUACAAAGGAGGAAAAAUUAAGGGAACCAGAGCACGGCUGAAAUGCUACAACCUUCAAAGUCAUUGCUGAACUACAGCGAGGGACACUGUGAGCUGCAUCCCACUGGAAGCAGCUCACAUGGCAAUAUGUGCUGUGGAGACGCUCGAGACCACACGGGAUGUACUGAGGAUUUUCAAGGACUAUUUUCCUGCACAGCUGUGUUGCAUGGUGACUGAGUGAGUGACUGCCUGGUUGGAGAUGCCAGCAGAUUUAAGCGGAAAGGACACUCUCUCCGUCUCUGAUCCACACGCCACAGAGCACUCGCACAAUGGAGUUAGUCACUGAAGUCUAUCUGCCAUAAACUAAAUCCCUCUCACUCUCUGCAACUCCCUCCAUCCCCCCUCAACUGUCCUGUCCCCAUCUCUCUCUCUUUGCUUUCAGUCUCUGCCACGCACAUAUGCAGAAUCUGCGUGCACACACACACACAACACACACACAAACAAUAAAAUGCUCUUUAACUUUUGCUGAAUACCCAAGCGUAAUAACCACUCUCUCCUCCUCACCCCCCCCUACCCCCAAUGCUGAUGCAUUGGGUGGGAUUAUGUGCGAAGGCUGUGUGCCGUGCCGUCCCCCUACCGC
Molecule: long non-coding RNA, 722 nt
Organism: Oreochromis aureus
Lineage: Eukaryota; Metazoa; Chordata; Actinopteri; Cichliformes; Cichlidae
Source: Ensembl